This 109-nucleotide ribosomal RNA is filed under the name Erpetoichthys calabaricus (reedfish). Lineage: Eukaryota; Metazoa; Chordata; Cladistia; Polypteriformes; Polypteridae. The record is from RNAcentral.
GCUUACGGCCACACCAGUGUGAAUGUGCCCGAUCUCGGAAGCCAAAUACGCUCGGGCUCGGCCAGUACUUGGAUGGGAGACCGCUUGGCAACCCCAAGUGCUGUAAGCU